Molecule: RNA transcript, 6128 nt
Organism: Cucurbita pepo subsp. pepo (vegetable marrow)
Lineage: Eukaryota; Viridiplantae; Streptophyta; Magnoliopsida; Cucurbitales; Cucurbitaceae
Gene name: serine hydroxymethyltransferase 7
Source: RefSeq, a predicted model, not a curated record
UCCAGGUUCGUUCUCCACCGCCGUAAUAAGAAACAACCUGUCAUCGUCGAUCCGACGCUCGCCUUCUCCUCCUCCGCCUCCUCUUCUUCUUCCUUCUCCUGUCUCUCGCUCUCAGGACCUCCAUUCUGUAGGGAAAUCUCACAGUUUUAGGGUUUUCGCUGUUUCUGGCUUUUCCAUGGAAGUUUCGUUGAGUUCAAUGCCACAAUCAUUCAAGCUUGGCCGUUCUACCGACCUCAAUCGCCCCUGCCCCUGCCGCUGUUCUUGUUGUUCUUGCUAUUGUUCCUGAUUCGGAGCUUCUGUUGGGGUUUGGCUUUGCUAAAUUUUUCUAUCUUUGAUUGUGUUUGUUUACAGGAGGUGUAAUCUUUUGGGGACUGGAAUUCGUUUGAUAGGCUUAAGACUUUGAUAUUUGUGGCUUUGUUCGUAGUUAAUGGAUUUGUCUAAUUCCCAUUCCAAUCUUUCUCUUGGAAUCUCAUUGCAUGCUUCGCCACCGCACCGCGUUCAGAUUGCUGAUGAUUCCAUUCUGCUUCAUCUCGAAUCUUCUCGACAGGAACCCACGUUUUCGUCCCCCCCAAUCCCUCUUCAGUUGAUGGAGCCGCUGACGGAGAGUCACAGAGACGAGGUUGGAGAUGCGGAGAGAGAAGACGAUGUCUACGACGACAGGGAUGUAGAAGAGUUUCGUAUUCUAGGCCAUUCUAUGUGCUUGAAGCGCCGAAGAGAUAGUGAAUCUUCGUUCUCGUCCAGUUCUGCAAAGAGAAAUUCGUGUGAACGUGAUUUAGAGACACGAAGAAGUGCUGUACGGUCGUGGGGUAACCAGACCCUUCGAGCCGCGGACCCUAACCUAUUUGGAAUUAUGGAGAAGGAGAAACAGAGGCAAAUCAAGGGCAUUGAAUUGAUUGCUUCUGAGAAUUAUGUGUGUCGUGCUGUAAUGGAAGCACUUGGAAGCCACUUGACUAAUAAGUACUCCGAAGGUAUGCCCGGUGCGAGGUACUACUGUGGAAAUCAAUAUAUAGAUGAGAUUGAAACGCUAUGUCGUGAGCGCGCAUUGGCAGCGUUUGGUCUUGAUUCUGAUAGUUGGGGAGUUAACGUGCAACCUUAUUCAUGCACGUCCGCGAACUUUGCCGUCUACACUGGUCUGCUACUCCCGGGUGAUCGAAUCAUGGGGUUGGAUACUCCUUCUGGUGGCAAUACUAGUCAUGGCUACUGUACCCCGAAUGGAAGAAAAGUUUCUGGGGCCUCAAUUUUCUUUGAGAGUUUUCCAUAUAAGGUUAAUCCGCAAACUGGGUAUAUCGAUUAUGAUAAGCUUGAGGAGAGGGCGCUUGACUUUCGCCCAAAAAUACUUAUUUGUGGGGGGAGCUCGUAUCCUCGUGAAUUGGAUUAUGGAAGGUUUAGGCAGAUUGCAGAUAAGUGUGGAGCAGUUCUGAUGUGUGAUAUGGCUCAAAUCAGUGGCCUUGUUGCUGCUAAGGAAUGUGUCAGCCCUUUUGGGUACUGUGAUGUUGUGACUUCCACUACUCAUAAGAGCCUUCGAGGUCCAAGGGGAGGUAUAAUUUUCUAUAGGAAGGGUAGUAAGCCAAGGAGGAGAGCAAUGCUUCUGUAUCAGGGAAAUGAAGCUAACCAAUAUGACUUUGAGGAGAAAAUCAACUUCGCUGUUUUCCCAUCCUUACAAGGUGGACCACACAAUAACCAUAUUGCUGCGCUUGCUGUGGCUCUAAAACAAGUGGCUACUCUGGAGUACAAAGCAUACAUGCAGCAGGUGAAAAAAAAUGCUCAAGCUUUAGCUUCUGCUCUACUCCGAAAGAACUACAAGCUUGUAACUGGUGGCACAGAUAAUCACAUGGUACUCUGGGAUCUAAGGUCCUUGGGAUUGACAGGUAAAAACUUUGAGCAAGUUUGUGAGAUGUGCCACAUUACUCUCAACAAAAUUACAAUAUUUGGUGAUAAUGGAAUUAUUACUCCUGGAGGAGUAAGGAUCGGCACCCCAGCUAUGACAUCAAGAGGCUGUCUGGAAUCUGAUUUUGAAGUAAUUGUAGAAUUUCUUCAUAUAGCCGCUCAAAUUGCAAUUGUUGUUCAGCGAGAGCAUGGGAAGUUGCCGAAAGCUUUUCUUAGGGGCCUUCAAAGUAAUAAUGAAGUUGUUGAGCUCGGAUACCGUGUUGCAAGUUUUUCAGCUAAAUUUGCAAUGCCUGGCCUUGAAACUUGAAUGGAGGGUGACCAUUUGUUGUCCCUAAAAAAGAAAAAUAAUAUCUGCUGCUCAUCAUGCCUUCCAUAUAAAAUCUUGAAGCUUCUCCCUCUUGGGGUUGCUGUUUAUUCAGAUGCCUGCAUUUACUUGUCAUCUUAUUGUUUUGAGAAGGGCCUUUGCAAUCAUCAGAAGAGAAUUUAGUAAUGCCGAUCUUUUCUUCUACAAGGCCGAAUGUGUACACAAUGGAUAGAGGCGUCAUGAGCAGUUUUUUGGUGGUGUCAUUUUUGGGAUCCAAUCAACUGAAGAAAUUGGUGGCUACGAGGGAAUAUAAUUUAAAAAAAUAUAGUACUCUAUCAGAGACCGGAAGAAUGCUUUGGACCUGAUUGUUUAUGGCCACGGCUGAGGAAUCAUUUUGCCAGCUUGAUGUGUGAUGAUGUGGUAGGAAGUACGCACAAUGCUGGUCAAUUUCCUUUGAUCAGAGUUCCAUUGUGUACUUUGUCGCCAAAGUAAGCAUAGUUCAACAGUAAUCAACAUGUAUUCUCCUACCUGUUGUUGUACUGGAGAAAGGUAUUUUAUCAGUAUUUAUAUAUAUCUUUUUAUUUAUAUCUCGAACAUUGCAUUAGAAUGUUUUUUUUUUUAUGGUAAAGUUAUAAAAUCAUAUGAAAAUUAUAUCUAAAACUUUGACUUGCUUUAGCUUUAGAGCUUUAGAGAGAAGAGUGUAGGGAGGUCAUAGAAUGAUGCCUUUUCUUCAUGGGAGGAUGAAUAGGUGAUUGGAGAGAUUGAGAGGGCCAUGAAAAGGAACCCUAAAUGUCAUUGUCUUUGCCUAUUUUCCACAUCAAAGAGCCUUGUGGGUAGGGAGUUUCUUCAUCAUUAUCAUUAUUUUCUUCCUCUUUGCCUUCAUAAUUUAUUUGGGUUAAAAACAUAAUUUAUUAACCAUUCCUUAAAAAAGUUACGUUUUUGUAGUUACCCGUAGGUCGUUCGGGUCGUUCUUUAACACUAAAUUACGAAAAUACCCAUAAAUUUUGUUCAUAAACAUUUCAGAACUGCAUUAAGGACCUGAAUAUUAUCACGUUGUUCAGUAUCACUACUACACUAUUUCCAGUAGCUUUAAAUUUUAAGAACUUUAUUACAAUUUUUUAAAAGUAUUUUGUAGACAAAAGCGAAGAUUUAGGGAUACUGUUUUAGUAACUUGGCAAAAAAAAGGAAAAAUACAAGUAGUUUAGGUUGAUUAAAAUGAGGACAAGAUCUUGUCUACUCACAGAGAAGAUUGUGUGGCUGUUCCUUUUAAUCUUUUUUAAAAAUAAACUGUUUAGAUGUUUUCAAAAUUUGUUGAGCUUUUUUAUCAGGAUAAUUAAAGCUGUUCUUGGUUUCAAAAUUAUAAAUUAUGAACAGAUAGUUCACAGAAACCUUUAUACUUUAGUAGCCUCCUGUUUCGUGCAAAAGAAGAAAAAAAAAAACAAUAACUCGUCUCUUUUGUACUUUGAUUAGUAGUGAUAUUGGUUGAUCUAACCGACAAAUAUCUUUUAAUAGAUUCUUGUCUAUUGAUCUCGUCGCUCUUGUCUAACUCCUUGUUUUGUAAAUUAGUCUUGGUUGAUCCGAUCGGACCCUGAACAUGUGAGAGUCCAGCUAUCAUUUUGCACACUGGAUAUCUCUUACCUAUUUGAGAAGGAGCCUUGGAUAUCGUAUAUCAAAGACAUCUGGCUCCUGACUUGUCCUAUCUUAGAAAACGAUAUCAUCAAGAAAAAAAACACAUAUGAAAGGGAGAAACAGUCUCGGAUAUCGUAUAUCAAAGACACCUGCCCUUGACCCAUCAAAAAAAGAACAUACACACAUGAAAGGGAUGUAUAGGUUCUCUUACCACAAGUUAAGCUCAACAAUAUAUGAAGGGAAAGAUUCAAACCUUAGGCCGGUUGAAUUAGAUUCAAACUUUUGAGCUACAACACCAAUUUUUUUGGCUAAGAACACAACUUAACCCGUUGAGCCAGAUUCUUUUGACCUACAACACUAUCUGUUUUGGUCGAGAACAUAUAUCUUAAUCCAUUAAACUCUACGAAAAAGAUCCAAAAAAAAAAAAAAAAAAUCAAAUCACAUUGAUACUUUAAUUAGAGUACAAAAUUGUUUAUGUAUUGAGUAUAAUUGACCUUUGGAUUUGUUUGGAAUAAUAUUAGUGUGGCUCUGUGGUGUGCUUAUAAAAUGCCACAAGAAUCUUUCCUUUCUUCACUGCCAAAAUCCUCUCUCUCUCCUCUCUCUCUCUCUCUCUCUCUAUUUUGCUGCUUUUCUUCAAAGCAAUUUCAGAAUCAAUGCUUCUCUCUCUCUCUCCCUCUCUCUCUCUCCUCCUGAAUUUUCUUCCUUUUAAGCUAUCAUAGGCUGCAACAUCAUCACAACCUUUCUAUAAACAAUGUGAUUCCAAAUCAAAAAUGAAAAAACACUAAGUAAAAAUUACACAACAUCUCUUAUCUUCCAAAAAUCUUCACUAUUUCUUCUCAAAUUUUGCAUUUUGAAGCAUACCCAGAUCCUCCUUUUCCCCCUUCUCUACCUGUUAGUAGUACACAUGUCCAAAAGCUUCUGUCUUCCCUCAACAAUCUCAUCAAGGAAGUCAUCAAGCUGCCCAACAAUGGCGUCCACUCCAUUUCUCAAUGUCCCAAACCAACCAUUCAAUCUCUCAACUUUUUCUUCAAUUUCAUCUCCUUCUUCUUCUUCUUCCUCCAUACCCCUCUCGAGCUCCACUUUCAGGCCUUCCAUGGCUGCCUUUGCUUCCCUGAAUUCAAACAGCAAGAUCCCCACUGACUGCCCAUCUACUCUGUCUAUUUCAUUUGCCACUCUCUGUCUCAAUCUUGCCAUUGAUGCUAUGAAGCUCGAGCUGAACAUGGUCCUUAAAUGGUGAUCUUCUUCAUUCUCAAUCUCACAACUUUCAUGGAAGCUUGAUUCUGGCCAACAAUACACAAGAGCACACAGAAGAAUCAUUAGAAGUAAUGAGCUGAUGCUCUUCACUGCAUGAAGAACCCCUCUGAAUCCAUUGAAAGCAUUCAAUUUCAACGUUGAUCCAAUUCCGGUUGACGUGCCGCCGCUGCCUCUGCUGUUGAAACAGAACAGUGAUAAUGGAUGAAUUCUUGUAUACAUCAAGCUUCUAUUUUCCUCUUCUAACCCAAAAACAUUCCUCUCGAAAUCAGUAAUUGAACGAAGAAUCUGCAAAACCCCAAAACAGAGCAAAACAGAGUAUAUCAAAACAGAGCAAAACAGAGUAUAUCAAAACAGAGCAAAACAGAGUAUAUCAAAACAGAGCAAAACAGAAACGAACCCUUUGAGAAGCCCGAGCGUUUACACGAAGAAAAUGAGGAUCCUGCAAAGAAGAAGUUAUAGCAAAAGCUUCCUCAUGAAAAAUCUCCAAGCUUGAGAUUCCAGAUUUGAGGACUUGGCAAGCUUCCCAUAUGCGGGAGCUUUCAUCCAUAUACUCAUCAAGCCACUUACCACCAACGGGGAGGUGGAGGCGUUGGCCAAGUUGGAUGAGCUGAGAGUGGAGGGUUCUAAGAAAAGAGAGGACUUUUUGAAGAAAGUGAAGAGACAUGAAGUCGGAGGAGACGAACGCGGCGUCGAGGUCGUCGAGCUCAUGGGAGAUGAACUGAUAGAAGCCAUGGAGGGAGGUGGCUGUAGAAGAGGAGGUACCCAUUUGAGAGAAGUGUGUAAAUGUGUGAAAAGUGGAGAGCUUUAUAUGUGAUGGAGGGGGAGAGAUGAAGAAGGGAAGAUAAAUAGGUGACUCUGUUUCAGAACAGGGGAGGGAAGAAUAAUAUGAAAGGAUUGGUUUGUUGGGUGCAAUCAUGUGUGUUUCCUAUUCAGUGGAGGAGAUGAUUGGGCUCUGCUGUUACAAAAACAAUGCUUUUAAGAGAGAGAGAAUGAGAGAGAGAGAGAGUCAUUGAAUUUGUAUUGCCAAAUCACAAUGGAUGCCAAAAAUGGUUGC